GAAAUGCGAUAAUUAAUGUGAAUUGCAGAAUUCAGUGAAUCAUCGAGUCUUUGAACGCACAUUGCGCCCCCUGGUAUUCCGGGGGGCAUGCCUGUCCGAGCGUCAUUGCUGCCCUCAAGCACGGCUUGUGUGUUGGGCUUCCGUCCCUGGCAACGGGGACGGGCCCAAAAGGCAGUGGCGGCACCAUGUCUGGUCCUCGAGCGUAUGGGGCUUUGUCACCCGCUCCCGUAGGUCCAGCUGGCAGCUAGCCUCGCAACCAAUCUUUUUAACCAGGUUAACCUCGGAUCAGGUAGGGAUACCCGCUGAACUUAAGC
Molecule: unclassified non-coding RNA, 314 nt
Filed under: plant metagenome
Description: partial contains 5.8S ribosomal RNA, internal transcribed spacer 2, and large subunit ribosomal RNA
Rfam family: 5.8S ribosomal RNA (bases 1-105)
Source: RNAcentral